RNAcentral lists this non-coding RNA (31 nucleotides) under Mus musculus (house mouse). The record is from RNAcentral. Lineage: Eukaryota; Metazoa; Chordata; Mammalia; Rodentia; Muridae.
AUAAACAUCAAUGUUUAUGAGGCCAGAAACU